This 453-nucleotide ribosomal RNA is filed under the name uncultured bacterium. RNAcentral describes it as "bacterial SSU rRNA". It matches the Rfam family "Bacterial small subunit ribosomal RNA", at positions 19 to 518 of the family's 1533-position model. The record is from RNAcentral.
CUGGCUCAGGAUGAACGCUGGCGGCGUGCUUAACACAUGCAAGUCGAACGAAGUCUCGGACUUAGUGGCGGACGGGUGAGUAACGCGUGAGAAUCUACCUUCAGGUCUGGGACAACAGUUGGAAACGACUGCUAAUACCGGAUGUGCCCUUGGGUGAAAGGCUUGCUGCCUGAAGAGAGCUCGCGUCUGAUUAGCUAGUUGGUGGGGUAAGAGCUUACCAAGGCGACGAUCAGUAGCUGGUCUGAGAGGAUGAUCAGCCACACUGGGACUGAGACACGGCCCAGACUCCUACGGGAGGCAGCAGUGGGGAAUUUUCCGCAAUGGGCGAAAGCCUGACGGAAGCAACGCCGCGUGAGGGAGGAAGGCUUUUGGGUUGUAAACCUCUUUUGUCAGGGAAGAAGCUCUGACGGUACCUGACGAAUCAGCAUCGGCUAACUCCGUGCCAGCCGCAGC